Molecule: signal recognition particle RNA, 300 nt
Filed under: Callithrix jacchus (white-tufted-ear marmoset)
Lineage: Eukaryota; Metazoa; Chordata; Mammalia; Primates; Cebidae
Description: Metazoan signal recognition particle RNA (ENSCJAG00000071677.1)
Rfam family: Metazoan signal recognition particle RNA
About the family: The signal recognition particle (SRP) is a universally conserved ribonucleoprotein. It is involved in the co-translational targeting of proteins to membranes.
Source: Rfam by way of RNAcentral
GCCGGGCGCGAUGGCGCAUGCCUGUAGUCCCAGCUACUUGGGAGGCUGAGGUGGGAGGAUCACUUGAGCCUAGGAGUUCUGGGCUGUAGUCUGCUAUGCCGAUCGGGUGUCCGCACUAAGUUCGGCAUCAAUAUGGUGACCUCCUGGGAGUGGGGAACCACCAGGUUGCCUAAGGAGGGGUGAACCGGCCCAGGUUGGAAACAGAGCAGGUCAAAACUCCUGUGCUGAUCAAUAGUGGGAUCGCACCUGUGAAUAGCCACUGCACUCCCGCCUAGGCAACAUAGUGAGACCCCAUCUCUA